UUUCCGUAGGUGAACCUGCGGAAGGAUCAUUAUUGUAUACCAGAGGUGCGAGGGCUGUCGCUGACCCGACCGGUCGUGCACGCCCGAGUGCCGUCACGCACAUCCAUUUCACCCCUAUGUGCACCACCGCGUGGGUCCCCCUUUGGCUUGUUCGGCGGGGGGCUGACGUUGUCACACAGACUUUGUAUGCAGUGUAGAAUGUACUUUUUGUUUUUGGGAUCACGCAAUCAAUACAACUUUCAACAACGGAUCUCUUGGCUCUC
RNAcentral lists this unclassified non-coding RNA (263 nucleotides) under plant metagenome. Its description in RNAcentral is "partial contains small subunit ribosomal RNA, internal transcribed spacer 1, and 5.8S ribosomal RNA". The record is from RNAcentral.